This 301-nucleotide ribosomal RNA is filed under the name uncultured bacterium. RNAcentral's name for it is "partial 16S ribosomal RNA". It matches the Rfam family "Bacterial small subunit ribosomal RNA", at positions 509 to 807 of the family's 1533-position model. The record is from RNAcentral.
CAGUCGCCGCGGUAAAACGUAGGGCGCAAGCGUUAUCCGGAAUUAUUGGGCGUAAAGAGCUCGUAGGCGGUUUGUCGCGUCUGCUGUGAAAUCCCGAGGCUCAACCUCGGGCCUGCAGUGGGUACGGGCAGACUAGAGUGCGGUAGGGGAGAUUGGAAUUCCUGGUGUAGCGGUGGAAUGCGCAGAUAUCAGGAGGAACACCGAUGGCGAAGGCAGAUCUCUGGGCCGUAACUGACGCUGAGGAGCGAAAGGGUGGGGAGCAAACAGGCUUAGAUACCCGUGUAGUCCCUGUCUCUUAUAC